GAGCGGACGGUUGGCGCGCGGCGCAUGCGCCCCGCCUGGGUGUCUGUGCUCCCCGCUGUUGCGGUGGGGCGGGAGGAGCGGAGGGAGCCCGUGCCCCGGCGGAGAGGUUCCAUCUUCUGUUCUUACUGGUCCUGCUUUGUGUUAUUUUGAUGAUCCACAUUUGUUUGAAAGGCACGGUUGGGCUAUAGAUUUGGCGUCUGAGUGGAUAGGGCUUCAGUAAGUCUGAAGUCCUCUAGCAUACUGUGAAGAUGCUACACACACGCUGGACAGAUUGAGGUGCUUAACUUAUAUUCCAGAGACCUCUGAAGAACAAAGCUGUCAUGGUACUAUGAGUGAAAGCAAGCAGAGUCCUUGGUCCGUACUGCACUAAAUGACUGAAUGACUGUGGGACUCGGUGAAGACUACAGGCCAUACAGAAUGCAGACAUGAACUGUUCCUGAUAUCUUCCCCUGAUCUGCCAUACACGUAGUACCGUUAGGCCCAGCAGCAUUACUGCAGCCUGCAGUCCAAUGGAUGAACUGGACAAUGAUUUUAAAGAAUUAUGGGCAAAUCUUUUGGGUAGGGCGAAGAAGAAAGCUGGGGAUGCUGAAGCAGCAAAGAGAGUUCAGAACAGGACAAAGAGCACUGCAACAAGAAGCAAAUUAAAAAGAGGAAAAGCUGCUGCUAAGAGCCAAGACCAUCAUCUCUUUCCAGUAGUGAAGGGGAGAAACUCGCCUCAAAAUUUGGGUCCUAAGGAACAAACAGAGGUGCACAAAGAUGAUGAUACUGUGGCCUGUAGUAGUGGUGGGACUUCACAAGAAGAUGGAAGGAGAAACCCUUUCCCUGCCAGCCAGAUGGGCACAGUGGCCAGUGAUUCUACCCAGAGGACUCUGACACUGAGUGCUUUGAGUGGCUGUUCCCAGACUACGUUAUCCUUCCAUCCUGCUGCUCAACCAGAGACCUGCUCUUCACCCAUUUUGAAGACACCGCUGCUGUCCGGAUCUAAGGUGCGGGUAGCAGAGUUGGUAGUGGAGAGAAUGCAGCAGUUCAAGAGAGUGGCACCUGAGCAGCUAAAACACAACCUGGAUGAUAGCUUGCCAAAAGCUGUAGCCAGUGGGAAUUUCCUUGAUGAAAGUGAGGAGCAGAACCCACCACAGAAUGGUACCCAUGAUCUUCCAUCCACAGAGCAUGAUGGUGAUUUGGCUUUGGCUCUUCAGCAGGAGAUCAAGGAGAAAGUCCCUGAAAGCCUGGAGGAGGAAGGCUUGUUUUUCUGUCAGAUCUGCCAGAAGGAUCUCUCAGCCAUGAACACAACACGACGAGAGCAGCAUGUUAACAGGUGCCUCGAUGAGAUGGAAGAAGCACAGAUGUCCUCCUCCAGUAAACCAUCAGUCCCUGAAUGUCCCAUCUGUGGGAAGCAGUUCCAAACUCCACAGAGCCGAGCCACUCACUUGAAACGCUGUGCUGUCGAGAUGGAUGUUCCUCCUAAGCUGCUGCUUCAAGCAGUGCAGUUGCAGGUGUCCACGCUUGGUGUUGCACCUCUUCAGUAUCCCAGCAAUCAACCAAGCAGGUCAAAGCGAAAAGGAUCCUCCAAACAGGACUCAGAGAAAAAGCAGAAGAGAGCCAAAAUGGAGACUAAGGAUGAAGAUUUGCAGGUUGCUAUGGCAAUGUCACGCUCUCUGUUGGAGCAAGAAAAGCGGGAGCAAGCAAUAUCAGUUACAGAUGUGAAACCAGUGGUUGCUUUGCCAAUCAAAUGGAAGCCAGGAUCAGAGAAGAAAAGGCGUAAAAGAGGCCCAGCUGCACCUCCACCAUUGCUGCUUCAGGAUCCAGAGACAGCUCGCAAAAGGAUCGAAGAGCGAGUAGCCAUGCUGCUUGCAGAAGAGGUGGAAUUCCCUCCCACACCUCGGCUCCCCACCAGUAGGAUUUUGGAGAAUGAAUCUGGGAAAACUGCUUGGCUCAUGCAAUUGCCCAAAAACAAGGACUGCUUUUUAUGGAAUUGUAGUGCGCUAACAGGACCCUGUGACCCUGAAUUGUUUUAUACUGCUGGAUUAACCCCUCCAAUUGUGCCUUGGAAGCCUGUGCAGAAUUUUAAAUCAGAGAUUGUUCUGCCAUCAGUGGGAUCUAAUCAGCCAGAAGUGUGCCCGCAACUUCAGCCUGACCUUAGUUCUCAUGAUCCGACUUCUGUAGAGGCUGGAGAGAAAACUUCUGAUGAAUCCAAGUCAGGACCUGAAGGGGAUGGACAGUUUUCAUCUCAGAGCCAGAAGGAUGUUCAGACCUUGCAGGACCUGGUUGAGUUGGCCAAGGAGGGACUUACUCUUACUCAGUGGAACCUUGAUGUUAACCACGGUCAGGAAACAGAACAGUCAGGAAAAGAACCGACUUCCAGUGAUAUUCCACUUAGUGGCUUCGUCUCUCCAUCCAAAGAGAAGAGAUUUCUGAGAAGCAGCUGCAGGAGUUCCUCCCUCAGGUUGCUGGCUGCAGAUUUCAGUACAAUGGUCAACAACCCCCACUUAAGUGACGUCCAGUUUCAGGUGGACUCUGGGGAAGUCUUUUACGCCCACAUGUUUGUGCUGUACGCACGGUGUCCUCAGGCCGUUCAAAUCGUUCACAGUGAAGGAUUCUUAGUGGAGGAGGAUGGGAAUGCGCAGACACGCCGUGUGCUGCUGAGUGACGUGACAGGAGAGGCAGCCUGCGCGUUCCUGCGAUACCUUUAUGCUGCUGAAGCUGACAUCCCUGCUGGGAUGCUGCCCCAGCUUGGGGCUCUGGCUGCCAGGUUUGGUGUAAAGGAACUCAUGGCCAAGUUUGAAAACAGCACUGGAGAGAGCCAGGUGUCUUCUGAAGUGGAUUCAGAAGAUGAUCUCAUCUCUGUGAGAGAUGACAAAGAUUGUGAGAACAGAGCUGAGAACUUCCAAGAGCUCUUGAAGUCAGUGUGGGUGGGUGAAGAUGAGGAAGAAGAGGCUGUGCUGAACCCUGAAUGCCAGAAGGAAGAUGACAAUGGGGUGGGUGAACAGGAGCUGGAGGAAAUCUAUGAGUUUGCUGCAACUCAGAGAAAGAUGGCUCAAGGUGAAACAGGGGUGAGUGAAGGCACAGAUUACAGCAUCUACAGUGAUACUGAGGCAGCGCAAGGUGUGAACCAGCAGACUGAGAAAGAAGAAACAGAGAGAUCUGAAUCUGCUUCGAUGAGCCAUGACUUGAAAGAUCUGAAGGAAGACAAUGAUGUGGAAGGAUCCAAAUGUGACUUGUCUGAACAAGAGGAGACAAUGCAGAAUAUAAGUAGCUGCACGAAUGUGAAUGCCACAAACAUCACUUUUAUACCUUGCCAGGAUGAACGUCAAAAGUUGGGUGUAGCAUCCCAUACUACCACCACUAAUGAAGGAGAGACGCUUAGGAGACAUAAAGUUGGGAAAGAUUCCAAGUUAUCUCAGGUCUCAAAUAAUGCGGGAGGGGAAGACCACUUGGAAAAUCAGUUUACUAAUACCCACAGUGAUACUGGUAUGAAUGAAAAUUAUAAACACUUAUUUCCUGCAAACCAGAGAGAAUACUGUGAGCCUUCCCCAGUGAAAGAAGCUAUCAGAAAGUCAGGAGAGGCUUUUAGUGAAAAACAUGUUGAUGUUAAUGAUUUGCUUAUGUACAGCAAGUCACAAAAAGACACCUCUCCCUGUAAGAAUGGGUUUUGUGCCAGUCCUCCUCCCAAACCUUUUAUUCCGCUUUUUCCUGCUGUUGGCUCUUCACCUGCGUCUCCAAAAUCAAAUAGGAAAUUUCCCAGAGAAGCAAAAAUGCCAAAGAAAAACAGAAUUAAAAAAUCAUUCUCAUCUCACAAAAUAUCCUUCCAGAAAGGCAGUGAGUUGGACAUUGCAUCAGGAAAUGAGAACACAGAGAACACAAUUUCUCCGGAAGAGUUUUGCACUGAUUUAAGCAAGCAUAAAUAUGUUUCAGUUUUGUCAUCACCAGUCAUCAGAACUCAAGAUGUUGCAGUUCAGGGGAAAAAAGAAGCUGAUAUUAUUGUUUUGUCUUCCGGUGAUGAAAUGGAAUUAGAACAAGAAAAGUCACCAGAGUCAGGCUCUCCUCUGAAGAAAGUGGAAAUCCCUGGGCAAGUGAAAUGUGCUAGCAUUGAACAAGGUCCUGAGAUACCAAAACCUGAACAUAACUCAUCAUCAGUCACUAAAACAGAGCAGAGAUCAUCCCAGGUCUCAUGUGGCAUUACAGAUGCAGUAUAUACAAAUAAUGAUGUAAAGAUGUCCACAGAGCUGUCUGUCAGCAGCCAAGUAGGUGCUUGUACAGACAACAAACAGAGUCUGAACCUGAGCCAUGAAGAAGGAAUUGGUCACGAGGAGUCUUCGGGUAUGGACAGCUCUUGGCUAGUGCCAGAUACACCAUUUCUGAGCAAAAGCAGAAAUUUAUCAACACAGAUGCAAGUCAAAAGUAUUACCUGUAUAAAGAAUUCCAGGUCUAAACUCAGGACAGAGAGCUUUGCGGUAGGUAACAAUGACCGUGAAAUGGCUGUUAGCUUUACAAAAGUUCCUGGAACAACUCUGUCAGACAAACAGUUGCCUGUGGAGAACUCCGACAGUGAAAGGAACCCUUCCAGCAGCCCAGCGACAGUACCAUUUUCCGUGGACACUGCAACAGUUUCUACAGUGGAUCCAGUUCUCUCCCCUGGCUACAACAGCAUGAAAAACAAAUGUGCCAAGAGCUCAUCUGUGUCCAAACCUGUGCCUCCAUGCCAUGAGCAGUCACUGGAAGAUGAAGCAGAUACCAGUGUGAUUGAGAUAAAGGACAGUGAGGGGGAAAAGGAAGCAAGUCUACUUUCUUUGAGUAGUAGUGUCUUGCUUGGCGAUGAGCCCCCAAUCCCUGUUGAUGACUGCUGGCAUGCUGAAUAUCUGUCGCCAGUCAGAGGUAACAGCCAGAACUCCAGUCGGGUUGACUGUGCAAGUGCCAGCACUGCCAGUAGCCCCAAACCUGACUCUUGGCCUGACCAAUGGGAGAGCCCAGUCCAAGCACAGGGAAUUAAGGGCAGUACCCCUCUUCGAGGAAGUCCUGGUGACAGAAGAAGAACUUUGCUUCACCUUGGAAAGAGUCCUGUUGAGGCAUGUUCAUCAGUGAGCAGUAGACUAAGUUAUCUAAACUCCAAACUCUGGGAUGAUUGGGAUGGAGAAGAAGAAGAGGGAGAUGAACUCCCAGAAAUGCUUCCUCUGUCUCAGAGGGUGUCAGCUGCAGCAGGUGCCUGUCAGACAGAGCCUGUAAAGACCCCUGAGCCUGCCUGUCAGGAGAGGGAUGAGUCUCCUGAGACUCCCAUGACACCAAUGCCAGCUUACUCCAUGAUGGAAACCCCAGAGCUGAAGAAGGAGUUGAGAAGAUUUGGAGUUCGUCCUUUCCCAAAACGCCAGAUGGUGUUAAAGCUGAAGGAGAUAUUCCAAUAUACUCACCAGGACGUGGAUGCUGACUUGGAGGAUGAAAUCCCAUCUUCCCAGCCUCCUUUGCAGAAGUCCCCAGCCAAACACUCUAGGCAGUUGAAGGCAAACCGGACUGCAGGUGGAAAGCGUGCCAAAGCCUCAAAUGCUGUGAGGAAAAAGAAGCAGGCUGUUACAGCUUAUUCAGUGCUCACUGCGGGGAGUGCUGGCGAUGACUUGGUUGGACCCCUUGAAACAGGCUAUUCGGGAGCUAAGGAGGGAGCUGAAAUGACAGAUCAGUACAAAGGAGCCAGAGAGCAGAAGGUAUCUGUAUCUCCAGAGAGGAACUUUCUGGCAGCUGAUGAUGAGGAGCUGAUGCUCUCAGCAUCUCAGGAAUCUGCAAGUUCUUCACUGGAUGGAAGUGACAUCUCUGCUGGGUUACAGAGUUCUUUUGCCAAUGAACUUGAGGCCUGUGCUCUUGUGUCUGAAGAGGAGGAAGAUGACCUUACAGCUUCUCAGGCAGCAGCCCAGGAGGCAGAUAAACUGGAGGCAGUGAGGAACUACAUCCGUUCAAAUCCAGCCCUGUACCGCAAGAUCCUCUUUUAUGAGCCACUUGAGCUGGCUGUACUGCACUCGGAGCUGAAACAGAAUGGCAUUAAGAUUGCCAAGGCAAAGCUGCUGGACUUCUUAGAUGCUCACUGUAUCACCUUUACCACGGCCGCAGCCCGGAAAGAGAAGGAACAGAAAGGAAAGGGGAACAAAAAACGGAGGAGACGAUACUGAAUGGAGCCCUGUCCUCUGUUUCAAGAGUUUUGAACAUCAAGGCCUUCCUGAUAAGCUGGAAACCCUGUUCUAGGCUGGUGCCUGAUUUGCUGGUGUGAUUGGUGAGUGAGCUGCUCCUCCUUGUGGCCUGUUGUCCAGAUGACACACUGGAGAAUGAAUCUGAACUUAGCUGCUGCUCCCAUGCCAUCUGCUCCAAGUUGCACAGACUCCUGCUGCUGCACUGCCUCCAGCACAGAGUUUCACUGGAGCCUCUGUUUGUUUUCCCUGGUUUUUCUCCUCCUCACCUUGUCUUUUCUUUCCUAGGUUUUAGGUCUCUUGUCUUUUCUUCCUUUCGGUGCUUCCAGAGGCAGGUGCUUCUUCCAGUGACACUUGCCAAAGCCCUUGCCCUGGGCUUGGGCAGAGAGGUGCUUCACACUUCAAGUUCCAGUAUUCAGUAGAAUAACCUGCCAGCAAGAAACCAAUCUCUUCGCCCCUGUAUGAAGUAUUCAGUGUUUGGACCCAAGUGACUUACAGUCUUCCCUUAUUCAGUGUGCAAGUGGCCCUGCUGAUUGUUAAGGCAGGGAGCAUUUUGGAAAUAAGAGGCCUCUCUCCUGUCCUUGAUUCAAUUUGUGGUCUCUGGUAAAACUUCUAAAUCUGCAUUUCCUAAACGGCUGCUGAACAACACAGCUGUUUUUCCAGUCUAUUUCUGAUGGCUCCCCAAAGUGCCUUCCGAUUCCAGGUAUUAUGUGAGAGCCUUCUGGAUUCCAGCAUUCAGCUGUGUGCGUUCACUUGCAUGCUGGGAUCUGUGUUAAAGAUAUCAUCUGCUCCAUUUUCUGAGGGCUGUGUUACCUUGUUACUGUAGGCUGACCAGAGCACAUCCUUGACACAGAAUUUUCUUUUUAAGAAGGCAGUAUUAUAGUGACCACUGGAUCUUUUCAGCACUUAAACCCUCUUCCUUGACCAGUCUCUUUUCCAACCUGGACUGAUCUUAAGUUGUAAACAACAUCUGGAACUCUUGGGGAUGUCUUAGACCCUAAAGUGUCAUCUUUUAUGUAUUUAAUUUCAUAAACUCUUCUGACUUUCCUGUGUUUUGAGAGUUUUGAAUCUGAAAAGGGUCUCACUCAGCAAAAUGGACACAAUGCUUUUAAAAAAGAAAACAGAUUUCUAAACAUAUUUAUGUAUUUUGGAACAUAUAAAUAUUUUCUAUUUUUGAUACAGUAUAGCCUCAGUUUGAUUUUUAUAUUAUAUACAAUAAACCAUUUAUAAGGUACUAAUGAUAAACUAUAACAAGUAAUGUCUUAUGAGAGACUGGGGGGAGUCUAAGUAGUAGUACUGGGUCUAGCUGGAGCAGUAGCAGCUUCACAGUGUGCGCACUGGCUAAAACCCUCGGCAGAGAACUGGAAGAAGGGGAGAGUUGUGUCAUGGAGGCCCAGCAGCAAGAAGAGCCAAAACGAGAGAGAUCACCUGGCAGCGUCUGGCAAAUGGUGGAUCCAAUACCUGGAGAGAGGCAGACUGCCAGGUUUGUCUGAGACGUGGAGCCCAAAGAGACCAUCUUCCCAGGGAAGCUCUGCACAUGCAAACUCCUGAGAUGGAGAGUUCAGGUAACUGAGGACAGGCAAGAGUGACCGCACCAAUGCCCUCGCCUCCCUGACCCCGCAUGUCUGCAAGCCCCCGCUCUGCCAACUGACGUUGUGAGCUCUUGCUCCUGCCACCCAUCCGGCUAAGAGCGAGCAAACCUGCUGGGAACAGAGCCUGGUCCCUAGCUAGAGGUGCAGGCAGAGGAGGAUUCUCAGUCUUAAACUGGAUGUCAUCUCCUGCAUAGAACAAGAGGAAGAGCUGCUGGUUGCCUGUUUCAAGGGCUCUGAGGAAGAGGAGUUGCUGAAUGGUCCCUGCACAGGGCACCUGAGCCGUCCUGGCUGACUCCCAGGGGAGGUCUCUGCUGUCUUGAAUUGUUCGCUGAGGUUUCAGAUGGGGCCUGGAGUAUGAAGAACCUUUUCCCUUCUUCUGCAGGGCCAG
Rhea pennata is the source of this 8144-nucleotide RNA transcript. It is a transcript of the gene named SLX4 structure-specific endonuclease subunit, with no coding region annotated. The record is from RefSeq and is a predicted model, not a curated record. NCBI's taxonomy places the organism in Eukaryota, Metazoa, Chordata, Aves, Rheiformes, Rheidae. The transcript is spliced from 19 exons.